RNAcentral lists this small nuclear RNA (107 nucleotides) under Physeter macrocephalus (sperm whale). Lineage: Eukaryota; Metazoa; Chordata; Mammalia; Artiodactyla; Physeteridae. The record is from RNAcentral.
GCUUGCUUCAGCAGCACACAUAUACUAAAAUUGGAAUAAUACAGAAAAGAUUAGCAUGGCCCCUGUGCAAGGAUGACAUGCAAAUUCAUGAAGCGUUCCAUAUUUGG